GCGCCCGUAGCUCAGCGGAUAGAGCGCUUCCCUCCGAAGGAAGAGGUCGCAGGUUCGAUUCCUGUCGGGCGCU
Molecule: transfer RNA, 73 nt
Filed under: Candidatus Colwelliibacteriota bacterium
Lineage: Bacteria; Candidatus Colwelliibacteriota
Description: tRNA-Arg
Rfam family: tRNA
About the family: Transfer RNA (tRNA) molecules are approximately 80 nucleotides in length. Their secondary structure includes four short double-helical elements and three loops (D, anti-codon, and T loops). Further hydrogen bonds mediate the characteristic L-shaped molecular structure. tRNAs have two regions of fundamental functional importance: the anti-codon, which is responsible for specific mRNA codon recognition, and the 3' end, to which the tRNAs corresponding amino acid is attached (by aminoacyl-tRNA synthetases). tRNAs cope with the degeneracy of the genetic code in two manners: having more than one tRNA (with a specific anti-codon) for a particular amino acid; and 'wobble' base-pairing, i.e. permitting non-standard base-pairing at the 3rd anti-codon position.
Source: RNAcentral